This 476-nucleotide ribosomal RNA is filed under the name uncultured bacterium. RNAcentral describes it as "bacterial SSU rRNA". It matches the Rfam family "Bacterial small subunit ribosomal RNA", at positions 28 to 507 of the family's 1533-position model. The record is from RNAcentral.
GACGAACGCUGGCGGCGUGCCUAACACAUGCAAGUCGAACGGAGAGGACAUGAAGUAUUUCGGUACGGAAUGCUCUCUUAGUGGCGAACGGGUGAGUAACACGUGGGCAACCUGCCCCAGACUGGGGGAUAACAUUGUGAAAACAGUGCUAAUACCGCAUGACAGGGUUCCGGGCAUCCGGGACCCUUGAAAGGAGAAAUCCGGUCAGGGAUGGGCCCGCGUCCAAUUAGCUAGUUGGCGGGGUAACGGCCACCAAGGCGACGAUUGGUAGCCGAACUGAGAGGUUGAUCGGCCACAUUGGGACUGAGACACGGCCCAGACUCCUACGGGAGGCAGCAGUGGGGAAUAUUGGGCAAUGGGCGAAAGCCUGACCCAGCGACGCCGCGUGAAGGAUGAAGGUCUUCGGAUUGUAAACUUCUUUGAUCAGGGAAGAAAGAAAUGACGGUACCUGAAAACAAGCCACGGCUAACUACGUG